Tribolium madens (black flour beetle) is the source of this 413-nucleotide long non-coding RNA. RefSeq lists it as uncharacterized. NCBI's taxonomy places the organism in Eukaryota, Metazoa, Arthropoda, Insecta, Coleoptera, Tenebrionidae. The record is from RefSeq and is a predicted model, not a curated record. The transcript is spliced from 3 exons.
CCACCCAAUACUCACUUUGAUUAUGAUUCGUUUGCAGAUGUGAAAAAAACUGCGGUUUCAGCUGUUGAAACUCUAAACCUCGAAAUAAAAGUUGACUGUUUGCGUGAUAAUUAAUUGAUUAAUUCGGAAUUGUUACCAGGACCACCAGGAAUAGGAAGCACCAAAUUUUAAUUAGAAUUCGGCACGUGUUUCGGCUGCAGAGUCAACAGGAUAGGCUGACGUUUACCCUCUUCAAGCUCGACUACUACAACCCAAAUCGUUCCAACCAGCAAGGGACCGAUAAACCAACAUUAAUUCCUUAUAAACGAAGAACUUUGAAUAAGAUAAUAGCCGACCAUAACUCUCGCGAAUUUCCUAAAAAUAAAUUACCUCCCUAUUAACCCAACAAUCACUAAUGUUGUCACGCACAUACG